RNAcentral lists this small RNA (460 nucleotides) under Pan troglodytes (chimpanzee). Its description in RNAcentral is "retained intron". The record is from RNAcentral. Lineage: Eukaryota; Metazoa; Chordata; Mammalia; Primates; Hominidae.
UGUAAAUUGAGGGAAUCCUGACCUCUGCCUCCCGGUCUGUGGGAUCAAGUGUCAGAACCCCUGGCAGCGCCAUCCCUGAGCCUGGCACACAGGAGAUGUGUCCACUCACAGCUUAUUCUUUGUCCCGCCCUUGGGGACAGUAUUCCCUGCCGGGAUCCUCCAGCCCCCCUUCUUCAGCAAGGAGCAGCCACAGGCCUUGAACUUUGGAGGCAUUGGGAUGGUGAUCGGGCACGAGAUCACGCACGGCUUUGACGACAAUGGCCGGAACUUCGACAAGAAUGGCAACAUGAUGGAUUGGUGGAGUAACUUCUCCACCCAGCACUUCCGGGAGCAGUCGGAGUGCAUGAUCUACCAGUACGGCAACUACUCCUGGGACCUGGCGGAUGAACAGAACGUGAACGGAUUCAACACCCUUGGGGAAAACAUUGCUGACAACGGAGGGGUGCGGCAAGCCUAUAAG